GCUAGGCCGCAUUUUAGGUGUGUUUGUUGCUGAUACACAUUUAUAGUGAAGACCUCCGUGGUCUUGACUCAAGAGCUCACUUUUGUUUCUCUCAGUGUCUCAUCUUCCAGGAUGAAUCCCUUAUUCAUGACCUUCUACCUGGCAGGAAACAAAUGCUUUCACGGAAGCUGGAUUUCAGGCCAUCAUCCUGUGGACUGAUCGCUGGAGGCUCUUGAGACCCAUGAAGAGUGAACAUCUCACAGAGACAAGGACACAGCCAAGCUUGGAUCUGAUGGAGGAAGUCAACCUUUAAGGCUGUGUAUUUUCUUCUUGACAUUUAAUUUUAUGUCAACAAGGGGAACUCUAUGGCAAUUUUAACCCAAAUGGGGAUUUCUUGUAAACGCUGCAUGACAUCACUAAGUCUAAGGCCUCAUGUAAGAUACUGGGACCAGGUGUGACAGAGAGCUAGCGAGAGCCACUAGCUCUUGGCCAUUAUGGAAGUCAUGUCUUCAGUGAGGUUUCUUGGAUGUCAAUGUUUCCUUGGCUAUUUCACUCUAAUAUUCAGCUAACCUUGUUCCAGAAACUGCAAAAUAAUUGGGAUCCAACGUUUGAAGCCAGUGGUUUUCAAGCAACCAUAAUUAGUUCAAAAGGCUUUUCAAAAAGCACAUCUAUGAUUUCAAAUUACUCACGUUGUUCUGCAGUAAUAUCCCGAAGCUGUUAAAAGAGUGUGACUUAAUGGUUUGUUCAGUGUUGGAGGUCUGGGCCGCUGUAUGAGAGUGGGAGGUCACGCCGCCACGCCGGAGAGGCAGCUUCCUUCUGUCAGAUCAGGCAUUAUCAAUGUUAUUGCUUAGGCCAUUAUUGUGAGGUGGUCAGGACAUCUGCAGCAAGGAGCUACCUAGAAAAACAUUCCCUUUCUUGAGCAGUGCCAGCUAGCAGUGCACACAAUGAAAGCAGGAACUAAUAAAAUGUGGGGCAGAGAAAGAACAGAGGUGCUGAACCCCUGAAGGCCUGGCUGGAAUCUGACCGUACCACGUUGAAUGCCGAGGAGUGCCAUGUCUGUCUGUAAAACAGGCUAACCGCGGAGGGUCUGAAGCUGACCUGUGCGGUGUCCAGCCAGCGCCUGGCUACAGGAGGGGGCUGAAGGAGUAGAAGGCGCUCCCACAGCAGUAGGGCUCUAAUGACUCGUAGACUGCUGCUCCAUUCCUGCACACGUCUGCUGUAGUCGCUUUCCCAACUGGGUUCUUCUGCAGAGUGAAGGUCUGCAUAGGCUAGGAAUGGAAGCCUGGUCAGUGCAGAGUAAAUACUUAAUGGUUGAAAAGGAGGCUGUUAUUGCUGGAUGGCCGGAUCUUGGUUGUUCCGGUACAGGCUGGGGGUGCUUACUCAGGCCUUGUGGGCACCCCUAAACACAUCCACACGGUGGAAAGAACUGCAGUUGGCUUUUGUCCCCAUGAUGGGGAAGGCAGAUUGUUAUAAAAAGGGUUAAAGAACCUUUCUCAAAAGAAUAUAGAGUUAAUUAUCUGUCUUUCGGCAGACCAUGAA
This is a non-coding RNA of Myodes glareolus (Bank vole), 1518 nucleotides long. The record is from RefSeq and is a predicted model, not a curated record. Lineage: Eukaryota; Metazoa; Chordata; Mammalia; Rodentia; Cricetidae.